GAAAUGCGAUAAGUAAUGUGAAUUGCAGAAUUCAGUGAAUCAUCGAAUCUUUGAACGCACAUUGCGCCCCCUGGUAUUCCGGGGGGCAUGCCUGUUCGAGCGUCAUUUCACCACUCAAGCCUCGCUUGGUAUUGGGCGACGCGGUCCGCCGCGCGCCUCAAAUCGACCGGCUGGGUCUUUCGUCCCCUCAGCGUUGUGGAAACUAUUCGCUAAAGGGUGCCGUGGGAGGCCACGCCGUAAAACAACCCCAUUUCUAAGGUUGACCUCGGAUCAGGUAGGGAUACCCGCUGAACUUAAGC
This 299-nucleotide unclassified non-coding RNA is filed under the name plant metagenome. RNAcentral's name for it is "partial contains 5.8S ribosomal RNA, internal transcribed spacer 2, and large subunit ribosomal RNA". The stretch from base 1 to 105 matches the Rfam family "5.8S ribosomal RNA", at positions 50 to 154 of the family's 154-position model. The record is from RNAcentral.